AAGAAGAAGCGAAAAAGAGAGACUAUAAAGCAGACCAAAUGCCCUACUAAGAUGGUGAUCAAGCUAAUAGAUGGCAGAUGGGAGGUUAUUAACUUCAUUGCAGAUAACACCCAUCCGUUGGUUGACAAGCCUUCACUGUCCAAGUAUCUCCGUUCCAACUAAGGCAUCCCCCCAGAAGAGAAUUUUUUGACUCAUCUACACAACAGCAACUUGACAGCAGGGAGAAUGAUGAUGGUGAUGUCAUCAUACUAUGGGUCAGAGUUGAUCGUCCCUUACACGUGCAAAGCCAUACAUAAC
Molecule: ribosomal RNA, 297 nt
Filed under: Triticum aestivum (bread wheat)
Lineage: Eukaryota; Viridiplantae; Streptophyta; Magnoliopsida; Poales; Poaceae
Description: partial small subunit ribosomal RNA
Source: RNAcentral